Long non-coding RNA from Passer domesticus (house sparrow), 1552 nucleotides. RefSeq lists it as uncharacterized. Lineage: Eukaryota; Metazoa; Chordata; Aves; Passeriformes; Passeridae. The record is from RefSeq and is a predicted model, not a curated record. The transcript has 3 exons.
CUGGAUGACCUUGGAGGUCUUUUCUAACCUUAAGGAUUCCGUGAUUCCAUCACCCCCGAGCUGUGGGAGCAGCACAGGGGAAUAUCUCAUCCACAAUGGACCAGAGAAUGGGGUGAAACCUCCUUGUAUUGGGUUUUUUUGUGGCCAGGUUUUGCUAGCCAGGGGCUGCAGGUCUGGCUUCUGGGAAGCUGCUGGAAUAAAUUGAAUUAAUUCCCCCAUCUGAGUCUGUUUCACCCAUGGCAGUAACUGGUGAGUGAUUCCUGUUCAGUUUUUGGCCAUGCACAGCUCAGUGCCUGCCUGGAGGCCUCCUCCUGACUUUUUGAACCGAGUUUGCUCAGAAAAAGGUGUGUUUUAUAGCUGCAGGUAUGUGCUGUAAUCUUCUUCUCCCUGAUUUAAUCCUGCUGGGCAGAGGGAGCGAGAGGAGCAGAGAUGUGUGGGUUUGUUCUCAUUGUUGUUUCACCAGUGACGCUCAGCCCAGGGCUGUUAUUUUUGGAGAGUUUGGUGCUCGUGUUUAUUGCGGAGGCUCCUCGAGCUCUGGGGCUUUGAGGUGUGUAAAUCUAAAUAAGGAUGACAUUUAAAAUAGGUUGCAUGCUCUCCCUGAGCGUGCAGAGAGGAAAUAUGAGUAGACUGACUUCAGAUACUUCAAGUAAAAAAUCCCCUGUGGGAGUGUCAUUAAAGUUCUCAGCACCUCCAGGUAAUUAUAUUCUGACAUAAGUUGUUUGGGCCACAAUUCAAGGUAACUCUAAUCUGGGCCUGAUUAUGAUGGAUAAAGAGGAAUUAAUCACUGAGCUGGAAGUGGGAUUGCUCCCUGGAGGCGUGUGGUCAUGGCCUGCCUGCUGAAAUCUGGGCAAAGAUGGGACAGUUUGAGCUAAAAUCGUGUGUGUAAACACAGACACGGAGAGGCUCAGGAGGGUUGGGCAGCACAGCCGACAAAAGUGAACAGGAAAGGAGGAUUGGGAAGGGAAAGGACAUGGAGAGGGAGAUGGAAAUGGGAACUGAGAGUCAUGGAAUUGGGUUGGAAGAGACCUCAAACACCACCCAGUGCCACCCCCUGCCAUGCAGGGACGACUUCCACUGUCCCAGGUUGCUCCAAGCCCCAUCCAACCUUGCCUUGGGCACUUCCAGGGAAUCCAGGGGCAGCCACAGCUCCUCUGGGCAUCCUGUGCCAGUAGUUUUUCUUCUCCAAGACAAAAUUCUUCCAUAAAAAUGAAACGAAAUUACAGUUUUUGGGAGCCUGCUGGCUCUGCAGGUACAAUUUCCCUUCCGGAGCUGCCCUUGGACAAUGAACAGCUGGGAAGCACCAGGAGCUCUGGACAGCGGAGGAGCAGCAUUCCAUUUCUCCUUGGAAAGGAAAAGGAAGGCUCAGGCACAGAAGCACAAUAUUAGGAGCCUUCCAUAUGUUGGUGCUGAUUUAAACGGCGGCAGCAUCUCCGAGAGGGAUCCGAGGCCCCAGUGGUGACCAAGAUGGGCCUCUCCAGGUGAAGCUGGCACUGGUGGUGUUGUCCUUGCUCAAGCUGGUGGCCACCUUGGCAUUGGGGACAUGUGGAAGGUG